Non-coding RNA from Pogona vitticeps (central bearded dragon), 450 nucleotides. NCBI's taxonomy places the organism in Eukaryota, Metazoa, Chordata, Lepidosauria, Squamata, Agamidae. The record is from RefSeq and is a predicted model, not a curated record.
UCUGCAGACAAAAACUUCAGUAUGGCAAGCAGAUAAGAGUGAACCUGAAUCCUGGUGCAUUAACAUUACAGCUUUUUAGUAAAUGCUCUGAUCAUUCAUACCUUAUUUUAUUUGAGAUGAAACUAAUGCACUCUGUGUGAGGCUGCCCUGGAGAAGCAUUUGGAAAAGUGAAGUUAAGGUCUGGCUUGACUAUGUCACUUUUUUCUCAUUCAACCUCCCUGCAUGGUUACUCAGCAUGUCUUCAGGUACAGCGGGCUUCAAGGAGAUGAUACAGGGAAGGGAGUGGCCUCUGUGCUUUGCCCCAGCAAAGGGAGUCAGCAGGUAUUGUACCAAAGGAGAGCAUCAUUUUCAUUUAUGACUUUCUCCCUGGAGGAAGAAACUUGUGAAACUUUACACAGAACCUUCCAGCUUAUGUAAUGAUAGAGAAUGGAACUACAUUAUUUCCUGCUU